GUAGACGUGGAUGAGGGAGAAACAAAAGGAAACGACUCUGACGUUCUGAUUGAGAAAAACGGAGGGGAGUUGAAGCAAAAAGAGGAG
Molecule: non-coding RNA, 87 nt
Filed under: Paramoeba aestuarina
Lineage: Eukaryota; Discosea; Flabellinia; Dactylopodida; Paramoebidae
Source: RNAcentral